RNAcentral lists this ribosomal RNA (552 nucleotides) under uncultured bacterium. Its description in RNAcentral is "partial 16S ribosomal RNA". It matches the Rfam family "Bacterial small subunit ribosomal RNA", at positions 355 to 920 of the family's 1533-position model. The record is from RNAcentral.
UGGGGAAUAUUGCACAAUGGGCGAAAGCCUGAUGCAGCAACGCCGCGUGAGUGAUGAAGGUCUUCGGAUUGUAAAGCUCUGUCUUUUGGGACGAUAAUGACGGUACCAAAGGAGGAAGCCACGGCUAACUACGUGCCAGCAGCCGCGGUAAUACGUAGGUGGCGAGCGUUGUCCGGAUUUACUGGGCGUAAAGGGUGCGUAGGCGGAUGUUUAAGUGAGAUGUGAAAUACCCGGGCUUAACUUGGGUGCUGCAUUUCAAACUGGAUAUCUAGAGUGCAGGAGAGGAGAAUGGAAUUCCUAGUGUAGCGGUGAAAUGCGUAGAGAUUAGGAAGAACACCAGUGGCGAAGGCGAUUCUCUGGACUGUAACUGACGCUGAGGCACGAAAGCGUGGGUAGCAAACAGGAUUAGAUACCCUGGUAGUCCACGCCGUAAAACGAUGAGUACUAGGUGUAGGAGGUAUCGACCCCUUCUGUGCCGCAGUAAACACAUUAAGUACUCCGCCUGGGAAGUACGAUCGCAAGAUUAAAACUCUAAAGUGAAUUGACGGGGUC